This 755-nucleotide long non-coding RNA is filed under the name Astyanax mexicanus (Mexican tetra). RNAcentral's name for it is "lncRNA (ENSAMXG00005000858.1)". The record is from RNAcentral. Lineage: Eukaryota; Metazoa; Chordata; Actinopteri; Characiformes; Acestrorhamphidae.
UCUGUUUAAUUACAAAAUUCUGCCCAAAGUAAUUAGUUAAUUAAUUACUGACCUUCAUUUUUCUUGGAGUAUUUUUUAAUCUUUAUUUAGUUGAGUAGUUGUUGCUUCUCAUAAUCUGGAUUCGAACAUUACUCAAAUAUUCACUAUUCACUGUAUACCUGUAACUCUACCUCUUCACUACUUUACUUUAACUGAUGCUCUCAAACUUUACAUUAAGAGACAAGAAAUUCAAGUAAUUAACUCUUGAUGAGUUCAGCACAGCUGUUAACUGAAAGCCUGAAUUCCAGGAGACUCUACCUCAUAAAACUGACUGAGAAAAUCCAGCAGAGAUGUUCAAAACUCAUCAUCUAAAUAAGUUUAAUUCAGAGCUUUGAGACGAGCGAUAAUGAUACCCAGCUGCAGCAAAUUAACGGACCAGCCUCCAGAGAAUGGCUUCAUUUCACCCUGGACUGGAUUCCAAACAGGACACCUCUCACGCUUUCCUCACGCCAGCCUCACGUCACCCAACACAUCUGCCACCAGCUGCUGGAGCUGCCACACAGCACAAACACCACAUUCUGCUGGCAGCCGGCACUCCCAGCUGGAGGAACAGGAAAUCUCCCAUAGGUCAGCGGUGCUAACAGGAAGCAGGGCUACAAGCAGAUCUUUGGAGAUUCUCCUACAAGACUGUCACGUAGACCCAGGCAGGAAGACGAGGAGGCGGACACAAGUGCAGGUAGGGUGAAAAUAAAUAAUAAUUUAAUACAUAAAUAACA